This 492-nucleotide ribosomal RNA is filed under the name uncultured bacterium. RNAcentral describes it as "partial 16S ribosomal RNA". It matches the Rfam family "Bacterial small subunit ribosomal RNA", at positions 29 to 507 of the family's 1533-position model. The record is from RNAcentral.
AGUGAACGCUGGCGGUAGGCCUAACACAUGCAAGUCGAACGGCAGCACAGUAAGAGCUUGCUCUUACGGGUGGCGAGUGGCGGACGGGUGAGGAAUACAUCGGAAUCUACUUUUUCGUGGGGGAUAACGUAGGGAAACUUACGCUAAUACCGCAUACGACCUACGGGUGAAAGCAGGGGAUCUUCGGACCUUGCGCGGUUGAAUGAGCCGAUGUCGGAUUAGCUAGUUGGCGGGGUAAAGGCCCACCAAGGCGACGAUCCGUAGCUGGUCUGAGAGGAUGAUCAGCCACACUGGAACGGAGACACGGUCCAGACUCCUACGGGAGGCAGCAGUGGGGAAUAUUGGACAAUGGGCGCAAGCCUGAUCCAGCCAUACCGCGUGGGUGAAGAAGGCCUUCGGGUUGUAAAGCCCUUUUGUUGGGAAAGAAAAGCAGCAGGUUAAUACCCCGCUGUUCUGACGGUACCCAAAGAAUAAGCACCGGCUAACUUCGUG